RNAcentral lists this ribosomal RNA (497 nucleotides) under uncultured bacterium. RNAcentral describes it as "partial 16S ribosomal RNA". It matches the Rfam family "Bacterial small subunit ribosomal RNA", at positions 28 to 507 of the family's 1533-position model. The record is from RNAcentral.
GAUGAACGCUGGCGGCGUGCCUAAUACAUGCAAGUCGAGCGAACAGACGAGGAGCUUGCUCCUCGGACGUUAGCGGAGGACGGGUGAGUAACACGUGGAUAACCUACCUAUAAGACUGGGAUAACUUCGGGAAACCGGAGCUAAUACCGUAUAAUAUAUUGAACCGCAUGGUUCAAUAGUGAAAGACGGUUUUGCUGUCACUUAUAGAUGGAUCCGCGCCGCAUUAGCUAGUUGGUAAGGUAACGGCUUACCAAGGCAACGAUGCGUAGCCGAACUGAGAGGGUGAUCGGCCACCCUGGAACUGAGACACGGUCCAGACUCCUACGGGAGGCAGCAGUAGGGAAUCUUACGCAAUGGGCGAAAGCCUGACGGAGCGACGCCGAGUGAGUGAUGAAGGUCUUCGGAUCGUAAAACUCUGUUAUUAGGGAAGAACAAAUGUGUAAGUAACUAUGCACGUCUUGACGGUACCUAAUCAGAAAGCCACGGCUAACUACGUG